Long non-coding RNA from Papaver somniferum (opium poppy), 1577 nucleotides. RefSeq lists it as uncharacterized. The transcript is spliced from 4 exons. NCBI's taxonomy places the organism in Eukaryota, Viridiplantae, Streptophyta, Magnoliopsida, Ranunculales, Papaveraceae. The record is from RefSeq and is a predicted model, not a curated record.
UUCAACACCACCACCACUAUCAUCUUCUAUCAUCUUCGGUACAACCACCAUCACUACUUAUAAAUGUAACAUGGGUUUUGUUUUUCAUAUACCCUGAAGGGAGGGAAAAGGAAAAAAAAUGGUUGAUUUGGAUAUUUGGUAUGAGCAGAGUCGGAAAUGGGAGUUUCAUAGACAUUCACCACCUCACAAAUGUAUAUUUGCAUUGCAUUUGGAUUACCAGAAAAAUAUGGAUUUCAGUCACCGAAACUCCUAUUAUGCAUAUAUAUCAAACCCGAUGUGAUUGAGAAGCCAGAGUUAAUUAUGUCAUAAGAGGUGUAUACAAGUCUGCAAAUGGCCGAGAAACCAAAUAGAGAGAGCAUUGAAACUGCCUGGUCUCUUUGAAGAACUCACUGAUCUUAUCAGAUUUCAGAAUAAGAGGAAAAAUGAAAUUGCACUUUGGAGGGCACAUGAUAAAGAUAUGCGGGAGCUGUAUGAAUAUCAAGCAGCUUCUGUGGAAAUUGGUGCGGCUGCUUCCAAUGCUGGAGUGCGCACAAGGAUGACUGCUGCUUCAAGCCACUGCACUUUCAGGUGAUAACUGAAGACACAUAAUAACAUGGACAUGCAACAGACUCAAAAUUACCUUACAAUGGUUCUUCCUGAAAUUGCGGUGCUGAAAGAAGCAAAUGAACGGAGAUCUAAUUCUCGUUGAAAAGGCACAAGGACAGUGCUUGUGAUGCUGAUGAUAUAAUAGAUGAAUUGUCGUACGGAACCUCUCCUUGCACCAAUUGAAACAGCUUGAACUAGUAGUGGUUUUGCCUGAUCCUCCAAUUUCGUUUAAAGCCGGCUAAAUAAUUUGCAGAUUUUUAAAGUUAUCUGAUUGCCAUAAUGACUUCUCCACUCAUCAACCGUCACAACGGUUUGUAUGCUCUUGGCAGGAAAGGUUGAAGAAAAUCCUAGGCCACUGAAGGAUGUUAUUGUGGUUUCCUACAAAAUUAUUAACAAAAAGGACCCUGCGGCUGCCAAGAAAAUCAAGCAGAAGGCUGGUGAAGCUUUAUACUUGAUUGUUUGUCAUUCUAUCAGAUAUCAACUCAUUUAGCCUCACUUUUCUUGAAUGCUGGCACUAAACUUCUACACGUCUGUGCUCCCAAUGGUUCCAGUCUGUCUUUUGAAUACAUAUACAUAACUCGUCCUACCGUAAAUUGCACAUAUGAGCCCCAGCUCUCAUUGAAUUUAUUUGAAAUCACUAAUCAGACAUAGGAAUAUGUGUUUCCACAGAACAAAGCCAAUUUAAUAAUAUCAGUUGCCUGGUUCUUUGUGUAAAAUUUUCAAACCCAAGAAAAGUUCACAAAAAGAAAGGAUAUGAUUUGCCUCCUUCACCAUUGCCUGAUUCUGCCACUUCAUUAAGCUUUGUUCUCCCUUAGUAAAAGUUAUUAUUCUCCUACAGGCACGACCUUGAAGAUGCUUGGCCUGAUGAAGACGUAGAAGAAGAUGGAGAAGAAGAGAAAAAAAGUGAAAUUAGACUUUCUCCAAUUUGUGGUUAUUCUAGACAUCCAAUGCUCUUCCGUACUUUAUUGUAGAAUAUGCGAUAGCGAACUCAG